RNAcentral lists this long non-coding RNA (574 nucleotides) under Homarus americanus (American lobster). Its description in RNAcentral is "uncharacterized LOC121870081, transcript variant X4". The record is from RNAcentral. Lineage: Eukaryota; Metazoa; Arthropoda; Malacostraca; Decapoda; Nephropidae.
GUCCUCCCAUACACACACCCUCACUCCCAUCCAUACACUCACCCUCUCUCACACACCCAACCUCCCACCUUUAAUGUGUGUGGAUGGGACUAAGGUUUUCUCAUUUCUUUCAGAUUGUGCGCCUCCGAGGUGAACGUCUGACUGAAGUGAACGUGUGGCUGGUCGAGAACUCCUCCAAACAGGUAAAGUACUUAUGACAAUAUAUAAUGUCUAUAUGCAAGUAUUUAUGAAUGUUAUGUUUUAAAGUUUUUUGUAUUCCAGGUUUGUUUGUGUGGCUGACUGGACCUACUACAAGGUGCUUCUUGCAGGUAAUAAAGAUACAUCAGUGAUGGUGAGGCCGUCACAUUACCAGCGGUUGUGGAUUUCUCAAUUCAACCUUUAUAUUGCAGACUCCACAUAAGGUAAAACACUUCCAUUCAGCAAUUGGUGUGCAGUGUCCAGAUUGUCAACAUUUAGUUCAGUAUGAUGUUACUUCUGGCCAGCUUAACCUGAGGAGAAAGUCAGUACAGUACACGAUUAGAUUUUGAAAAGGAAACUGCAAAUGUCAUUAAUGCAAGAACGAAUGUAAGUGUCG